This 420-nucleotide ribosomal RNA is filed under the name uncultured bacterium. RNAcentral describes it as "bacterial SSU rRNA". It matches the Rfam family "Bacterial small subunit ribosomal RNA", at positions 30 to 495 of the family's 1533-position model. The record is from RNAcentral.
CGUACGCUGGCGGCACGCCUAACACAUGCAAGUCGAACGAAGUAGCAAUACUUAGUGGCAGACGGGUGAGUAACAUGUAGGUAUCUACCCUUUGGCCUGGAAUAACACGAGGAAACUUGUGCUAAUACCGGAUAAGUCUUUACAGAGAAAGCUUUACGCACCAUUGGAUGAGCCUGCACUUGAUUAGUUUGUUGGUGGGGUAAUGGCCUACCAAGACUGUGAUCAAUAGCUGAUUUGAGAGGAUGAUCAGCCACAUUGGGACUGAGACACGGCCCAAACUCCUACGGGAGGCAGCAGUGGGGAAUCUUGCACAAUGGAGGAAACUCUGAUGCAGCGAUGCCGCGUGAGUGAAGAAGGCCUUUGGGUUGUAAAGCUCUUUCGUCGGGGAAGAAAAUGACUGUACCCGAAUAAGAAGGUCCG